AAAUUGGGAGCGGGUUUGUUUUGUUUGCUACCACCAUUCUUUCCUCGUGGACGAAGACAUACUAGCUGAAUACCCAACUCUCAGCCCACUGCGACAUGUCUAAACUCCAGUCGUUUCGUGUGUUUUUAAAUGAGCGUUUAACUGCGGCUGCUGUGGAGAUAUUCGGGGCAAUUGAGCAAACCGUAGUGGACUACCAGGAGGAGAAUGAUCGGCUACGUAGACUGCUGCGGAUCACACCAAUUAUACAACGAUGUAACAUAGACUCCUUGCAGCUAUCUCUCUGUGUCUCUGAAGAGGAGGUUACCCCUGAGCAGCAGCACUGUGAGCAGGAGUGGAGCCCCAGUCUGGAGCAGGAGAACCCAGAGCUUCCACAGAUUAAAGAGGAGCAGGAGGAACUCAGGACCAGUCAGGAGGAAGAGCAGCUUCAAGGGCUGGAGGCUGAUAUCAUAGAGUUCAAAUUCACUCCCUCCUGUGUGAAAAGUGAAUGUGAUCAGGAGGACCCACUUCAGUCCAUGACUCUUCCCCAAACUCAGACUGUGGAGAACAGAGAGAGUGACCCUAAACAAGUGGAUCUCACACCUUUUGUUACUGUGACCCACCUUAAGGGUCUCUACAUUCCCUGUGACCCUCCAGAUAAUCAAAACAAUACCUCAGGCCACAGCUCAGCCGUAAGCAGCGACCCAGCAGCACUUGACAGCAGCCCAUCAUUGGAUCCCAACUCACCAUUGGAUUCCAGUCCGUCAUUGGAUCCAAGCCCAUCAUUGGAUCCAAACCAGUCAAUGGUGGAACACUGUUUCAAACCCAGCACCAUGUCUAGAAAAACUCACCGCUGCCGUGACUGUGGCGAAAUGUUUGCGAUGAAAGCUGACCUGCAGAGGCAUGUGACUCUCUUUAAGAAGAGGCCCAGUGAAUGUCGCUUCUGCAAAAUAAACUACAACUCCACCUGUAAACUAAAGGCCCAUGUCCGACUCUGUCACAGUGUGAAACCCUACACCAGCCCUGUUUGUGGCAAGACCUUCAAACUCAAAGGGGAUCUGUCCAAGCACAUGAAGACUCACACGGGAGAUAAAUCAUUUAAGUGUGGUGACUGUGGGAAAAGCUUCAAUCAGAAGUGGACCCUAAGGAAGCAUAAACUGACUCACACAGGAGAGAAACCAUUUAUCUGUGGAGAAUGUGGGAAAAGCUUCUAUCAGAAGGGGGACUUAAGUAGGCAUAUACGGACUCACACAGGAGAGAAAUUAUUUCUCUGUGGUGAUUGUGGGAAAAGCUUCAAUUUGAAAGGGAACCUUAGGAAGCAUAAACUGACUCACACAGGAGAGAAACCAUUUCUCUGUGAUGACUGUGGGAAAAGCUUCAGUCAGAAGGGGACCCUAGGGAAGCAUGAACUGACUCACACAGGAGAGAAACCAUUUAUCUGUGGAGACUGUGGGAAAAGCUUCAGUCAGAAGGGGACCCUAAGGAAGCAUAAACUGACUCACACAGGAGAGAAACCUUUUAGCUGUGAUGACGUGGGAAAAGCUUCACUCAAAAGUCUAACAUGUGAAAAACAUCCUGAAAUGAAGAAAACAGAAUGAAAACUGAAAAAAACUGAACAAAAAUUAGGACAAAGAUCUAUUCAGUCACAAGAUGAGAAUAAAAAGGCAGGAUGUGGACAACACUGAGUACAUGCUCAUAGACUCACAUCCGGUGGUUGGUGAAGGACGACAGGAUGAUACCUCUCCUAGGGACCUGCUCUCUAUGCUUCAGGAUUAAAGUUCCUCUGUUUUCUGAUCUAUUCUAUUGGUAACCUGCUGUUUCUCUCCACAGUGCUCUCUGCUACUCUGGUCUACAUGGAGGGCCUAGCUACUUUACAUCUGUCUGGAGGGACAGAUAGAGGUCACAGAAUGAGGCUUCUAGUCUCAACACUUUCCAAGGCUUUUUAGAGGAAAAUACCUUUUCAGUUCAUGUGACAAGUGCCUUCUUCUCUGACAAUGGCACUGCUAAUGAACUCAGUGAUGAUGCUUAUUUUCUCCCCACUAGAUGACACUGUUUGAGAUGUGAUCGCAGUAGCCCUGUAGGUCUAACUUGUUAGUCAUUUCAGUUCAUUCUCCCCAUACCUAUGAGGGUAUGUGGGUAUAAUGUUAAAUGAAUCAACACUGUUACCCAUUACUAAACACAUUGAAACACACACACUGUAUUAUAACCAAACAGGACCAUGCUAAACUGAACUGGGCAUGACUGACCUGACCAUGGGAAUGAGGGUCUUAGGUGAUGUGUACUGGGGUCAAAUGUGACUGUGACUACUUUUUAAUGUAUAUAUUACAUGUUUUUAAUUACCAGGUAACAUAUUCUCAUUUAAAGCAACGACCUGAUGAAUAGUUACAGGGGAGAGGAGGGGGGAUGAAUGAGCCAAUUGGAAGCUGGGGAUGAUUAGGUGGCCGUGAUGGUAUGAGGGCCAGAUUGGGAAUGUAGUCUCUCUUGCCCUCUUUCUGUGUGUGUAAGCGCAAACUCUGUUUUAUAUGCAUCAUUGUUUUUUCAGUCGCAUUUCAAUAACAUUCUUUAUAAUUGCUGUUGAUAACUGCAUUCUCUGGUUUAGUGCCUGCUGUCCCAUCAGUCCCAAGCAUCUGCCAUUAGUCGCAUGUGUUACAAUGUGUUGUCUUUUAAUUCAGUUCAUGCAAGGAAUGAUCAUCCUAGAUCAGCCUAUUACUUAACAUGUGGGAAAACAAUUAUAUAAUAUAUUUACAUUAUAAUUUGUAUGGCGCUUGUAGUAUAACCCCAUCCACAUCGGGGCGUUAUGUUUAUGGACUAGCCACCCGCUGAUAAAAACAGAAUAAGACAAUACGGAAGAAACUGUGAGCGGAUUGUUUUGUUUAUGCCCACCAUUCUUUCCUCGUGGACGGAAGGUAUACUAGCUGAAUAGCCAACUCUCCGUCGACAGAAACAUGUCUAAACUACAGUCGUUUCGUGUGUUUUUAAAUGAGCUUUUAACAGUGGCAGCUGUGGAGAUUUUCGGGGCACUUGAGCAAACAGUAGCGGAGUACCGCGAGGAGAAUGAUCGGCUACGGAGACUGCUGCGGAUCACACCGGAGAUACAACUAUGUAGAAUAGACUCCCUGCAGCUCUCUCUCACUGUCUCUGAAGAGGAGGUUCUCCCUGAUCAGCAGCAGCAGCACUGUGAGCAGGAGUGGAGCCCCAGUCUGGGGCAGGAGAACCCAGAACUUCCACAGAUUAAAGAGGAACAGGAGGAACUCAGGACCAGUCAGGAGGAAGAGCAGCUUCAAGGUCUGGAGGCUGAUUUCAAAUUCACUCCUUCCUGUGUGAAAAGUGAAUGUGAUCAGGAGGACCCACUUCAGCCCUUCACUUCUCCCCAAACCCAGACUGUGGAGAACAGAGAGAGUGACCAUAAACAAGUGGACCUCACACCUUUUGUUACUGUGACCCACCUUAAGGGCCUCUACAUUCCCUGUGACCCUCCAGAUAAUCAGAACAAUCCCUCCAGCCAAAUCUCAGCCGUAAGUAGCGACCCAGUGGCACUUGACAGCAGCCCAUCAUUGGAUCCAAAUCCAUCAGUGGUGGAACACUGUUUCAAAACCAGCACCAUGUCCAUAAAAACUCACCGCUGCCGUGACUGUGGUGAAAAGUUUGCAGAGAAAACUGACCUGCAGAGGCAUGUGACUCUCAUCAAGAAGAGAAUCAGUGAAUGUCGCUUCUGCAAGAAACACUACAAUUCUACCUGUAAACUGAAGGCCCAUGUCCGCCUCUGUCACAGUGGGAAACCCAACACCUGCUCUGUUUGUGGCAAGACUGUCAAACUCAAAGGAGAUCUGUCCAAGCACAUGAGGAUUCACACAGGGGAGAAACGUUCUUGUUGUUGCGACUGUGGGAAGAGCUUUAAUCGCAAGUGGUCCCUAACCUCGCAAACAUACUCACACAGGAGAGAAAUCAUUUAGCUGUGCUGACUGCGGGAAAAGCUUCAGCCAGAAGGGGACCCUAACAGCGCAUAUACGGACUCACACAGGCGAGAAAUAAUUAAGCUGUGAUGUGUGCGGCGAAAGCUUCACUCGAAAGUCUAACUUACUGAUUGAUCCAUGUGGAAAACAGGAUGAAAACUGAAAGAAAACAGAAAAUUAGGACAAAGAUGUAUUUAGUCACAAGAUGAGAAUAAAAAGGCAGGAUGUGGACAAUAUUCUUAGUACAUGCUCAUAGACUCACAUCUAUUGGUUGGUGGAGGACGAUACGAUGAUACCUCUCCUAGGGACCUGCUCUCCAUGCUUCAGGAUUAAAGUUCCUCUGGUCUCUGAUCUAUUCUAUUGGUAACCUGCUGUUUCUCUCCACUGUGCUCUCUGCUACUCUCUGGUCUACAUGGAGGGCCUAGCUACUUUACAUCUGUCUGGAGGGAGAGCUAGAGGUCACAGAAUGAGGCUUCUAGUCUCAGGACUUUCCAAGGCUUUUUAGAGGAAAAUACCUUUUCAGGUCAUGUCACAAGUGCCUUCUCCUCUGACAAUGACACUGCUAAUGAACUCAGUGAUGACACUUCUCCUUUCUCCCCACUAGAUGGCACUGUUUGAGAUAUGAUCCCAUCACACCAUCUGUUGUAUUUAAAACUUGUUAGUCAUUUGAAAUCAUUCUUCACAGACCUAUGUGGGUAUAAUGUUAAAUGAAUCAACACUGUUACCCAUUACUAAACACAUUGAAACAGACACACUGUAUUAUAGCCAAACAGGACCAUGCUAAACUGAUCUGACCACAAGGGGAUGUCAUAGAAUAGAUGGUGUGUACUGUGGGGUCAAAGGUGACUGUAAAUCAGUAUUAGGUUCUUAACGUCUGAGUGGCAUACUACGAAGCAAGCUAAAUCAACUCAGGGUUUUCUAAAGCUAACCAGCUUCAGUUAGCUUCACAUUCCAGCUCAGGCUUCAUCCGUACUAUGACAGUGGAUAUUGCUUGUCCGCCUGCCACUAACUCUAGCAGGCUUGUAGCUGCGCUUGCACGUCCCACAUGGUUAGUCGAACGCCAAACUCUUGAGACAAUGCUGAAAAAUCAACCCGUGUGCGAGUCAGUGCCACGUUUUCAUUUGUGAAGAAAUCUAAAUGAAAGAAAAUUGAUCUUUCAAAUUCAUCAGACUAUGUUGUGAAAUAGGCUUUUAGAAGUGCUGUCUUUAUUUGAUUACUUAUCAUUAAUGCAGUCUUUGGUGUGCUUAUCGCUCCUUAUUCUAUGUGUGGAACAGCUUGUUGUGUUGUGGCCAUAGACAUAAUCCAUAGAAGGGUUUUGUGACCUCUGACCCUGUCAAUUUGACUGUUAAACUCAUGGGUACACUAGCAAUGGCUGGCAGUCUUGACUUGAAUAUGAACUACCAUCUAUGGAUUAUAUGUCUAUGGUUGGUUGUGGCUGUCAGUUUGUCUUGCAAAUUUCUAAAUAGAACAGUGUGGAAAACAUACAGUUUGGUAAGCAAAUGCUGUCGUUACUUAUUUGUUUUCAUUUAAAAUGGUCAAAAUCACAGUAAGGUACUGAAUUGUAACCCAGAAAUGAUUUGAUAUGAAGAUAAAAACGGCUGCAUUAGUCCUUUAAAUGCUCUCCAAAGGAGGACAUAGUCAUUCUAUACAUACAGGCUACUAUACUAAUGAAUACAUAAAG
RNA transcript from Salvelinus namaycush (lake trout), 5610 nucleotides. It is a transcript of the gene named gastrula zinc finger protein XlCGF57.1-like, with no coding region annotated. The transcript has 3 exons. NCBI's taxonomy places the organism in Eukaryota, Metazoa, Chordata, Actinopteri, Salmoniformes, Salmonidae. The record is from RefSeq and is a predicted model, not a curated record.